CAUUUGAGUAUCAUCACUCUUAAAUGAUUAUUAUUAUUGAUUCUCACCAUACUGAGCAACUUUUUCCUCUUUCUCUGCAGAUUCCAGAGAUGCUGAGAGAGCUAAAUGUCAUCAUAAACACAUCAGUCAGCCUUCAGGUUCAAAGGAUGGAUCACUGAACCUCCCGUCUCAUACUCAUAAUCCCCGAUCUUCACUGUUGCCAGUCGCCCACCAACAGUGCCAGACUCAAACACAUCGAUCUUCACCCCGGGUCCAAACUCCUGUCGCAGGUAAUACGCUGCUGCUGUGCCACCAAUGCCCGCUCCGACCACAGCUUUAAAGAAGCAAUGACAACAGAUCAACAAAGUGUCACUACUUCGUCCACGAUCACAGAGUGUCUUCGUACAUUGUAGAAGUUCUUUGAGACCAGGACUGAGGCCUCCAGGAUUCAAACGUCAACCAUUAAAUCACAGAGAGAAGAGACAGUUGUGAAGACAUUUCCAGAAGGUGCUGCGGUCUUCUCCUCCUCCUCCUGCAGAGAAAGAACACAUUAAUAACAGACACGGUCCAAAGCUUCAAGUCUCAUUUUCUGACGGUCUUGGACGCCUUACUUAAUAUAAAGCUGUUUGUGAAUUACCUGGAGGCCCCUGUCCAUGUCUCAAAGAACUUCUUCAUUGUACAUAGACACUCUGCGAUCGUGGAUGAUGUCUCGGACAAAGUGGUGACACCUGGAGGCGAUCAAAGAGAAACAUAUGAAGGAAAAUGAUCAAUACACUACUACCUAUUAAACAUUACAGCUAAACCAGAACAUUUUCCAAACAUUGGAGGACUGUUUCAGAAAAUGAACCGUUGAAUAUCAUCACCUACGACAUUUUUUGACAAUUUUUGAAAAAUCUGGACCUGAAAUUUUGCUCCAAACGAUGACCCGCCGCCUGUCGCCAAUAUCAAAAAUUGUGGUGUCAAGUUUUUCAAAGAAUUCACUCAAAACCUGUCCAAAUCCACUUCAAAUGUAAUAAAACAUGCCCCUGAGUCAUUUUUAGGUGAAAAAUCUGGACCUGAAAUUUUGACAUUUUUCGCUCCAAACGAUGACCCGCCGCCUUAAGCCUUAUUAUACUAUGACAUUUCUUGAGUUUUUGACAUCUCAUUAUAAUAUAUACUUUAUUUUUUUAAUGUUUUUGUAUACUGUUUUACUAUCACGAGACAUUUUACUUCAAUUACUCCAAUAGUAGAUUACUUUUACCAUUACAUAAUAACUUUUCUUACUACAUAUUACUACUAUGUUUACUAUGUUUAUAAUCUUUACUGUUGCAAAUUGCAUCUAAUAACACUUUGACUAUUACAUUUUGUUU
This is a long non-coding RNA of Lates calcarifer (barramundi perch), 1328 nucleotides long. RefSeq lists it as uncharacterized. NCBI's taxonomy places the organism in Eukaryota, Metazoa, Chordata, Actinopteri, Centropomidae. The record is from RefSeq and is a predicted model, not a curated record. The transcript is spliced from 5 exons.